CCUCAAAAACAUUCUUCCUUGGUCCCCACUUAUACUCAGUUUCAUUUUUCAAGGCGGAUUGCAAGGUUCGUGUAAAGCUCACAGCUGCAAUGAAGUCACUGACAAAUCUGUGAAUUACCCUGAGUGCAAAGACAAGCUAGUUCAUUUAUAAACAGCCCUUAGAAUAAUAGUAAACUAAACUGCAGGUGGGAAACCUUCAUAAGAUAAAAACUCAGACACACUGUCCCUUCUUGGAAAGCCCUGGAUAAGAAGUAAACAAUGCCAACAAGUCCCUUAGUGACUUGUCACUCCACUUAAAAUGGCCUUUAUUAAGAGUGAUGACCUCCGCCUUAACUGUAAGACCAACCAACUCAAAUGUAAGUCAAGAACAAGAACAUAUUUCCUUGCAGGGGAUUCUGUGCAAACUCAUAGAUGAUUUGCACCUCUGUGAAAGGUCAUGGCUAGGAGGCCAGGUUGAGGAAACUUGAACAGCUAAAGUACACCCAGGCUGUCUGCUAACUACCUGCAUCCUAAUUACCUGUCUGCUAUCGCUGUGUGACGUGCAGAGCCAUGAGAUAGGAUCUGUCUUCAUUUACAGAUCAUAAAAAAACAAAGCUUUAGACAGGUUAAGUAGCUUGCCCAAUGAAAGCAAUUUCUUCUGACCCUUGUGCACAAUUAUGUCCACAGGAGAACACCAUAUACAUAUAUUGCCCAACCUUUGAACACCAUUUACUCAAGAAUGGCUUUCCUUUCCCUGCCAUGCACAGGCAGGCUUGUGGUUAGCCAGUCCUUUCUGGUCAGUGUGGAUAUAUCUGCUGGGUUCAGGGGUGUAGGGUUAGGGAUCUCACUGUUUCCGCACACCAAAACUGUUCUCCAACAGCUCAGUCAAUAAAAACAGCUGAUAUCGGGGCAGGGGUGGAGUUCUUGGUUCAGGACUCUUCUAAUGUCCUGGACUGCAGAAAAGCCCUUGCCCUUACCCUGGAUAAAUACCUGAGAAUGCUUGUCUCCUUCCCACUCUGUAGGCACUCUUGUCCUCUCCAUUCCCUUCCUUGCCUCCUGAGGAGCUUCUGUGGCCCUGGGCUGAUGUGGGGAAGGGAGAAGGGUCCCCUGCACCCCUGGGAUGGGAACAUGAAUGAGUCUGCCCACCAACCCCUAAGAAAUAUGCAUACCUGUGCUCAAAUUAUGGGGCCAUCAGUUCUGCUAGUCUCAGAGCCCCCUAGGGAGGGCGACCCAGCUUUUACUGGACACCCAGGGACUUUCCCUGGAACCUGCUGUUGUGAGCGUUUCUGAGGUGUAGACAAACAGCUCCCCCACACACCUAGCCAACAACCCACUCUCAAGGUGGGAAACACCAUUCUAAGGACUCGCAUUAACCCAUCUGGAUAACCCUGGGUAAUCUGGAGCAGAGGUCGAAACCACUGAAUGGCUCAGGUACGGUAGAAAAUGCCUCUGAUUGAUUGUUUUGGACAUCGCUGCUAUUGCAACAGAGAAAGAUCAAGCCCCAUCACCUAGAAGGGAUUUCAUUCUUUGCAACAGGAAAGAUAGUUCAGAAUCCAGCGCCAAUUAUUCCCAGAAAAAAAAUACCAUUUGAAACAUUACAAAUGAAAUUGAGUUAUAUAAACCCCCUUCCUCAUCCCUUCCAAGGAGGGUGGAUUCUGCGGAUAUCAAGGGUGACUGUGGCAGACUGGAAGGGUGGGAAAGAGAUCAAAUUAGAGAAAACCAAGGGAAGAGCAACUGCCAGCCACCUAGGAAAAAGGAGAGAGGCCUAGGUGACAGGACCCCGAGUUGGAGAGAAAGACACACAGAGGGGUGAGUCAGAGGAAAGCUACAGAAGGGUGUGCUGGGGACAGGCGUCAAGAGGUGAGGCUGCCUCAGGGAGAGGAAGCACGGGAGGAGACCUGGCCCAGGAGAGUUUCAGAGGCUCCUCCCAGCAGCGUGCAGUAGUACCUCCUCCCCCAAGAAAUCAGGAUUGUGCAGGAAACACUCUCCUACUUCUCAGUGGCCACUGGAGAGCUCUGAACCCAGCCCAGGGUCAACUGCCCGGCACUGUCAGGCAGUUCCUCUGACUCCACAGCACAUUCUAAUUGCAGUCACUCCUGCAAGUGCUCAGAGGACACCCAACCCUAUGAUCUCAGCCAACUCAUGAAGUUUGAUUUCACAACUUAGUGAUGUCUUCCCAGUGGAAUCCUAAAUGAUAAGGAAAAUGGUAUAGAGCCAAGACUUGAACAUUAACAACCCAGGAGCACAGAAACAGCACAGUUAGCUGAGAGGCGUUAUGGAGAGAAGCAACCGAAUGCACACUGAGCGCUGUGAGAAGUCCACGACAGUGGGGAACAGCGCCCACCGUCACAAAAAGAAAGACCCUCGGCAGGUACUUUAGAGUCACGUUCAUGCUGUAAUAUGUGGGGAAGAAAGACUAUUCCAAAUGGAUCUGGCUUUUUAAAACAAGGGAAUUUUCCUUGCUCUUGGGAACCAGCAAAAUCCAGCUGCUCAUUGAACUGCCUGUCUGGAAUCUCACAAAUUUGCACCUUGAAGUUGUUAAUAAAGGACUAAGUUGAUAAUUCGAACAAA
This 2550-nucleotide long non-coding RNA is filed under the name Homo sapiens (human). Its description in RNAcentral is "HSALNT0304119". The record is from RNAcentral. Lineage: Eukaryota; Metazoa; Chordata; Mammalia; Primates; Hominidae.